Molecule: long non-coding RNA, 896 nt
Organism: Cinclus cinclus
Lineage: Eukaryota; Metazoa; Chordata; Aves; Passeriformes; Cinclidae
Exons: 4
Source: RefSeq, a predicted model, not a curated record
CCGGGGGCUCGGGGCAGUGCAGGACAGGCGCGUUCUCCCCUUGUGCAGCUGCGGGGAGCUCAGGGUCGGCGAGGUGUGUCCUGAGGGAAGCCUUGCGAGAAAGCACAGGAUCAUCCUCAGCAGCUGCAACGUGUGCCCCAUACUGUUGUCCGAAUGAUUCUUGAAUUCUUGUGAGCCUUGGUGCUGUGACCACUUCCCUGGGGAGCCUGUUCCAGAGCCGAACCACCCUCUGCGUGAAAAGUCUUAAUGUCCAACCUAAAGGUCCCCUGGCUUGGCUUCAUGCCAUUUCCUUGAGUUGCUGGUCACAAGAGUGAAGAGUUUAGUCCCUGCCCCUCCACUUCCCCUCGUGAAGAUGUUGAAGAGCACAGUGAUGUCUCCCCUCGAUCUCCAGGCUGAACAAACGGAGUGACCUCAGCCAUUCCUCAUAGGACUUCCCCUCCAGACCUCUCCCCUUCCUCCUGGCCCUCCUUUGGAUGCCGAAAACAGCACAGAGUACCCAAGGACUUCAUCUUUAUGCCGAUUCCCAAAGAUGAGCUAAUUGGUCUGCACAAUUUACCCUUGGUGACAACCAUACUGCAGGAAAUUAAAUACUAAGGUCAGCCAGUGGAAGCCCUUGGAGCUCUAUGGCAAAGUAGAAGUCUGUGUUCCUUAUGAAGACAGAAGAAUUCUCCUGAAAAGAAUGGCAUAAUUGGGACUGAGUGCCUGCUUCUUUGUGUCUGUUUCUGAAGACAGGAAAUUCUGUAACACAGAACAGCCAAAAACAGGAUAUGUAUCUAUAUGUCAAUAUAUGUGCCUACCUGUCAAUCUGUGAUCUAUCUAUCUACCUGUAAUUCCUCUUACCCACUCACUCUGCUUGUACAAAUAUCCUAAAUGCCUUAAUUCUCUGCAUUUUUUGA